GACGAACGCUGGCGGCGUGCCUAAUACAUGCAAGUCGAGCGAAGUUUUUCUGGUGCUUGCACCGGAAAAACUUAGCGGCGAACGGGUGAGUCACACGUAAAGAACCUGCCUCAUAGACUGGGACAACUAUUGGAAACGAUAGCUAAUACCGGAUAACAGCAUUAACUGCAUGGUUGAUGUUUAAAAGUUGGUUUUGCUAACACUAUGAGAUGGCUUUGCGGUGCAUUAGCUAGUUGGUGGGGUAAAGGCCUACCAAGGCGACGAUGCAUAGCCGACCUGAGAGGGUGAUCGGCCACCCUGGGACUGGGCCACGGCCCAGACGCCUACGGGAGGCAGCAGUAGGGAAUCUUACGCAAUGGGCGAAAGCCUGACGGAGCAACGCCGCGUGAGUGAAGAAGGAUUUCGGUUCGUAAAGCUCUGUUGUUAGGGAAGAAUGAUUGUGUAGUAACUAUACACAGUAGAGACGGUACCUAAUCAGAAAGCCACGGCUAACUACGUG
Molecule: ribosomal RNA, 499 nt
Filed under: uncultured bacterium
Lineage: Bacteria
Description: partial 16S ribosomal RNA
Rfam family: Bacterial small subunit ribosomal RNA
Source: RNAcentral